Non-coding RNA from Paramormyrops kingsleyae, 1977 nucleotides. The record is from RefSeq and is a predicted model, not a curated record. NCBI's taxonomy places the organism in Eukaryota, Metazoa, Chordata, Actinopteri, Osteoglossiformes, Mormyridae.
GGGAUCACAUCCCCGGAAUUUUGCCCAUGAACUCCGCGCUCCCCUCCGCUUUAGCACCUUGUGUUACAUUCGCGUUAUUUUGCUCCGAAAUCUCUUGGACAGUGUACAUGUUGUAUUUAAAACCUCUGUAUUUAUGCUAGAAGACCGCAAGCAUGCCGAUCGAGAAAGCGGAUGUUUCUGAGCUUAAAAGAUCUGGUACUUUACACUUCAUGUCGGUGAGUCAUUCCAGGCAGCGCCACACCGGUUCAGUGACACGGACUGCAUGUCAAUGGAAAACCCGUAUAUAUGUUUUGGAGAAUCUGUCUUUUUUUCCUCUGGACUUAACCGGUCUCCUAAACUGGUUGUUUUCUGAGAGAGUGAAAAAGAAGGAGAGAGAUAGAGACAGGCAUGAACUACAGACUGAAAAUAAGAUGACAGUCAUAUUCUUCUGUCGGGGGAUGAACUUCAGGACAAUUGGAGCGAUAGAGAGAGAGCGCACAGAAGGACCUGAAUGCCACAAAGCAAAUGAAGGAUAGCUCAUGGACAUACAAACUGUUUGUACUUUUUUCAACACCGUCUUGCUUGUGUAUUGCUCCUGUGAAAAUAAUAUAUUGUGAUAUUGUUAAUUAUGACAUUUUUUUUCAAACUGCUACUUUAUUUAUGUAUGAGACUGCGGCAGUAAUAAUUUACGGCUUUAAAGCUCUCUAACCGUAUGAAUGAACACCCAGGGGUGCGUCGUGGUGCCCUCUACUCGCCGUUAACCUGCACAGAGUUGCCCUUUUCUGAGGCCAGGAGCAGAAUGAGGUGGUGAAACCACACAGACUCUGUCUUAAUAUCCGGCGAGAGCGUCGAUGAUCUUAAAUGAUGUAUUUUGACACGUUCAAGGGCUGGAGAAGUUUAAUACUGCCACAAUCACAGCCGACGUCUCGCUCUCAGUUACACGGGGUCCGUGUGCCAUAGUGGACAGCUUUGUGUGUCGUGGGUGGGCGGGUGUUACUGUGCCCUCACCUGUGACGCUAGGGAGCAUCAGAGAGGGCGCUGCACCCCUACGGGCGCACAGGCGGACGGAGCCAGACGAUCGGCGGCGCAGAUGUUACCCCUGCACCCACCACAACCCUGACGGAGAGCCGUGUGAAGCUGGGCUCGCACGCCGACUCUGAUUUCUCUUCUUGAAGAAGAAGAAGGUGUGAAUUUUGAUGAAGAUUCCAGGUGAAGAGGUACACUGCGCUUCCCCAAAGGCCGGACUGAGAUCUGAUCAGGCUUUGAACUGGAAAAUAACGUCACGCCCUGUUCCCCCAGGCUGCACCUCUUCACCGGGGGAAAAGCCAAAGACGACUGCAAGUGUUUAUUUCUCUCUGCCUGAUUUUUUUUCCCACACUUUUUCUUUCUGAUUGUAAAUCUCCAAAAUCCUCCCUGAACCCAAAACAUAAUCCAGCCGGUGCCUCUCCUACUCACAGACAGCUAGACGAGAUUAGGACACACCUUGUUAUCUACCGGUCUAUAGGCUAAAUCAGUGCUGUUUUAUUUCAUCGCUACCCCUACAGAUUAGUGAUGUGUAACAUACAGAUCAUGUAUUUAGGGUUUACUUAAUUUGCUGUGACGCUAAAGCCUUUGCUUUGCAUGCGUUGGCCCCGGAGCUUCGUAAAAUGAAUCCAUCCAUCUGUCAUUCAUCUGCUGAGGAAACUCCUCAGACAAUGGACUGAUGUCCGGAAACCUUGGGGAAUCCCUUACUCCGAGCCAGGCCCCCCCACGCCCCCACCCAGACACGUGCAUCUUUUUAAAUGUUGUUUACACUCCACAGCUUUAAUUUUGUUUUUAUACUUAUCAUUUGAACACAUUUGAAAAGCUGUCACAUAAUUUGUCUGCUUGAGUUUUACAGGAUUAUGUUGUUUGGUAACUUAUUUUGCCUGUAUAAAACGUCAGUAUUUAUUGUCACUGUAAAUAAGUUGUUAUUUUUAUAUAUAUAUAAAUAUAAAUAAAGGUAGGGAUGACAUCCGU